UGGCGGCGUGCUUAACACAUGCAAGUCGAACGGAUCAGGGAAGCUUGCUUUUCUGGUUAGUGGCGAACGGGUGAGUAACACGUGAGUAACCUGCCCUUCACUCUGGGAUAACUCCGGGAAACCGGGGCUAAUACUGGAUACGACCUGAACAGGCAUCUGUAUUGGGUGGAAAGAUUUAUUGGUGGAGGAUGGACUCGCGGCCUAUCAGCUUGUUGGUGAGGUAAUGGCUCACCAAGGCGACGACGGGUAGCCGGCCUGAGAGGGCGAUCGGCCACACUGGGACUGAGACACGGCCCAGACUCCUACGGGAGGCAGCAGUGGGGAAUAUUGCACAAUGGGCGAAAGCCUGAUGCAGCGACGCCGCGUGAGGGAUGAAGGCCUUCGGGUUGUAAACCUCUUUCAGCAGGGAAGAAGUGCCUGGGUUUUCUUGGGUGUGACGGUACCUGCAGAAGAAGCACCGGCUAACUACGUGCCAGCAGCCGCGGUAAUACGUAGGGUGCAAGCGUUGUCCGGAAUUAUUGGGCGUAAAGAGCUUGUAGGCGGUUUGUCGCGUCUGCUGUGAAAUUUCGGGGCUCAACCCCGAACUUGCAGUGGGUACGGGCAGACUAGAGUGUGGUAGGGGAGACUGGAAUUCCUGGUGUAGCGGUGAAAUGCGCAGAUAUCAGGAGGAACACCGAUGGCGAAGGCAGGUCUCUGGGCCACUACUGACG
This 710-nucleotide ribosomal RNA is filed under the name uncultured soil bacterium. RNAcentral describes it as "bacterial SSU rRNA". It matches the Rfam family "Bacterial small subunit ribosomal RNA", at positions 37 to 745 of the family's 1533-position model. The record is from RNAcentral.